CGAGCCCUCGCUGCCACGGACAAACCCUCUGUGCACCACACUCCACUGGGGCACCGCGAUUUGGGGGGAGGAUUUUUUAUUUUAAUUUUUUAAUAAUUUUUUUUCCCCCCCAAUUUCACUUGGAGCCCAGGAUGUGCUGCCCCUGAAUGCCAGGACUCGGCAAGCUUUUCUUCCUUUCUCCAUCUGAAUGUACCAGCAGGAAGAAACCAAGUGCCUGGGGAAGGGGAUGGGACCCUGGAGUCUCCUGGAUUUGUGCUCAGCAUGGAUCUCAAGGUGUGGAGCCCUGUGUGAUGCUCCGGGAGCUCAGAGCCCUCCUGGUGGAGUCACCCCAGGGUCAGGGUGAUGUGAAGAGGACAACCCACACCUCCCAGCCAAGGGCAGAGAUGGAUGACUGGGAUGAGCUCUCAGAGGGGGUUUGGACCCCUGGCUCAGAGUUUUGGGGAUGGCAGGGGCUGUACAAGGCCUGUGCUGCAGCACUAAGCAAUGAUUGGGUCACAGGGCUUGACCUGCAGGUCCACCCCAGGGCACAGGUGAAGGGUGGGAUAAGUGGGUGCUAAGGUUGAAUUUCACUUCUGAGCAUGGCCAGGAGCAGGAAUUGGAGGUGGAUCUCUUGGACAAUGGUCUUUGAAGGGUGAGCAAGUCCUUAAACAAGCUGGGUUUGUUGGUUCGAAUACCUAAAUUUUGUUGCUAGAGUCUAACGUGGAGGUAAAAUAGGACAUUAGGACUCUGAUGGCUCAUCAAUCCUGAAGGAAAUAAUUAUAGGAAAUCUGUAAAGAGCUGAGGAAAUCCUUCCUCAAAGCCUGAUGAACUGUCUGACUCCUUCCAUCUUAAACUGCUGAAAUCCUGAGUAUUUCUGAGGGCUCUGUUUGCUGUUAAUCUGUGGCAGGUAGCUUUAACAAUCCCUCUAAACUUCUCUGGUCCUCAUUUUUCUUGGCCUAACCUCUCCCCUGGAUCCUUGUGUUCCCUCUGGCUCUGCUCCUGAGCUGUUCCUGGCUCCUCACCUCUGGUGGGAAUGCUGUGAGUUGGUGUUACCUGGGCUCACCCAGGUGGUGUUACCUGGACAGAGCCAUCCUGUGCUAACACCUCUGAGCUUAGCAAACCCCUUUGCCACUGCUUUUACUGUUUUAGCAAUAACUUCAUGGCUUUUUAUUCCCCUGCAAAUAGCAUUUACCUCACUCCAUUUAUUUACAAGCUAUUCUAAGCUGAUGAUGUAGAAUUCCUCCACUUGGGAUGUUUUUUGUCUACCAGUGAUGGUAGAAACUCUUUACAGCCAAUUUCCUGCAAUAUCCAAUGGCCAAGGCUCUGAGAUUCUGGUUUCCUUUAAAAAGGAAAAACAAAAGAUAUAUUUUUGUUUAAAAUUUGAUUAUUUUCUUAGGAAAACAAAAUAUAUAUUUUUAUUAAAACUGAAAGGCUGCAUUUUAAAACAUUUGCAGUGUAACCUGCUGUAGUACCUGUUCUCAGAUCCAAAUCAAGAAAUUUGUGUUGUGUUCUUACCUUUCCCAAGAGCUCCUCACACGAUUUUGCUGGCCCAGGUUCUUUAUCUGUGCCUGGAUUUCUUGUAAACCUGGGGAAAUCACAUUUUCUGUGUGUAUCCCAUUAGCUCCUCUGUGCAGCCCUGAGCUAGAAGAAGGGACAGCUGUGAAUCACAGCCUUGAUAAAUAUUGAGCAGAUGAACAGAGGAGCAGAACUGGAAUCCCAGAUUUCAUAUCUGAAGGGCAGAAAAAGGAGAACUGGUGCUGCCUGAGGUUCAGUUCUCCUCCUUUCCAGUCACAAAUAUCCUCUGUGGCCAGGGCAUCCCAGGAAAUGAGAGAAGGGGAAGUGCUGGCUCCUCCAGCACUGCCAGAAUUCCUCUAAGGACACUUUUGGGUGCCCAUGAACUGGAGCAAUUACAAACUGUCAAUAAAAA
Molecule: long non-coding RNA, 1906 nt
Organism: Parus major (Great Tit)
Lineage: Eukaryota; Metazoa; Chordata; Aves; Passeriformes; Paridae
Source: Ensembl